AAAAAUAACGAUACGGGACUCUAUUGAGGCCCCGUAAUCGGAAUGAGUACACUUUAAAUCCUUUAACAAGGAUCCAUUGGAGGGCAAGUCUGGUGCCAGCAGCCGCGGUAAUUCCAGCUCCAAUAGCGUAUAUUAAAGUUGUUGCGGUUAAAAAGCUCGUAGUUGGUUCUGCGUGCCGCGCUGUCGGUUCGCCGCCUGUCGGUGUAACUGGCAUGUCGCGGCAUGUCCUGUCGGUGGUGAACGGAGUCCACAAUGCUACAUAGGCUUUAUAGCCGAUGUUAGCGUCGUGUGUACUUCCGUUGGCCGAUCUCUCCUACUUCGGUGCUCUUAAACGAGUGUCGAGGUAGGCCGACACGUUCACUUUGAACAAAUUAGAGUGCUUAAAGCAGGCUGAAAUAUCUGCCUGAAUAGUGGUGCAUGGAAUGAUAAAACAGGACCUCGGUUCUAUUUUGUUGGUUUUAGGAAUGUGAGGUAAUGAUCAAUGUGGACUGGCGGGGGCAUUCGUAUUGCGACGUUAGAGGUGAAAUUCUUGGAUCGUCGCAAGACGCACUAGAGCGAAAGCAUUUGCCAAGUAUGUCUUAAUUGAUCAAGAACGAAAGUUAGAGGUUCGAAGGCGAUCAGAUACCGCCCUAGUUCUAACCAUAAACGAUGCCAGCCAGCGAUCCGCCGAUGUUCCUUUAAUGACUCGGCGGGGAGCUUCCACCCGGGAAACCAAAGCUUUUGGGUUCCGGGGGAAGUAUGGUUGCAAAGCUGAAACUUAAAGGAAUUGACGGAAGGGCACCACCAGGAG
RNAcentral lists this ribosomal RNA (790 nucleotides) under Panstrongylus geniculatus. RNAcentral describes it as "SSU rRNA". It matches the Rfam family "Eukaryotic small subunit ribosomal RNA", at positions 473 to 1176 of the family's 1831-position model. Lineage: Eukaryota; Metazoa; Arthropoda; Insecta; Hemiptera; Reduviidae. The record is from RNAcentral.